Molecule: ribosomal RNA, 253 nt
Filed under: uncultured bacterium
Lineage: Bacteria
Description: partial 16S ribosomal RNA
Rfam family: Bacterial small subunit ribosomal RNA
Source: RNAcentral
UACAGGGGGGUGCAAACGUUGCUCGGAAUCAUUGGGCGUAAAGCGCACGUAGGCGGUUCGUUAUGUCGGAUGUGAAAGCCCUUGGCUUAACCGAGGAGUGCAUCCGAAACUGGCGAGCUAGAGUACUAAAGAGGAUCGCGGAAUUCCCGGUGUAGAGGUGAAAUUCGUAGAUAUCGGGAGGAACACCGGUGGCGAAGGCGGCGACCUGGGCCAAUACUGACGCUGAGGUGCGAAAGCGUGGGGAGCAAACAGG